GUGAGGAAUAUUGGACAAUGGGCGCAAGCCUGAUCCAGCCAUGCCGCGUGCAGGAAGACGCAUCUAUGGUGUGUAAACUGCUUUUGUACGGGAAGAAACACUCCCUCGUGAGGGAGCUUGACGGUACCGUAAGAAUAAGGAUCGGCUAACUCCGUGCCAGCAGCCGCGGUAAUACGGAGGAUCCAAGCGUUAUCCGGAAUCAUUGGGUUUAAAGGGGCCGUAGGCGGUUUAAUAAGUCAGUGGUGAAAGCCCAUCGCUCAACGAUGGAACGGCAAUUGAUACUGUUAGACUUGAAUUACAAGGAAGUAACUAGAAUAUGUAGUGUAGCGGUGAAAUGCUUAGAUAUUACAUGGAAUACCAAUUGCGAAGGCAGGUUACUACUUGUGGAUUGACGCUGAUGGACGAAAGCGUGGGGAGCGAACAGGAUUAGAAACCCCAGUAGUCC
Molecule: ribosomal RNA, 445 nt
Filed under: uncultured bacterium
Lineage: Bacteria
Description: partial 16S ribosomal RNA
Rfam family: Bacterial small subunit ribosomal RNA
Source: RNAcentral